This 460-nucleotide ribosomal RNA is filed under the name uncultured bacterium. Its description in RNAcentral is "partial 16S ribosomal RNA". It matches the Rfam family "Bacterial small subunit ribosomal RNA", at positions 338 to 795 of the family's 1533-position model. The record is from RNAcentral.
CCUACGGGAGGCAGCAGUGAGGAAUAUUGGUCAAUGGGCUUACGCCUGAACCAGCCAAGUCGCGUGAGGGAAGACUGCCCUAUGGGUUGUAAACCUCUUUUGUCAGGGAGCAACGCCGGCUACGUGUAGCCGGACUGAGAGUACCUGACGAAAAAGCAUCGGCUAAGUCCGUGCCAGCAGCCGCGGUAAUACGGAGGAUGCGAGCGUUAUCCGGAUUUAUUGGGUUUAAAGGGUGCGUAGGCGGAAUGCCAAGUCAGCGGUAAAAGCGCGGGGCUCAACCUCGCUCCGCCGUUGAAACUGGCGUUCUUGAGUGGGCGAGAAGUAUGCGGAAUGCGUGGUGUAGCGGUGAAAUGCAUAGAUAUCACGCAGAACUCCGAUUGCGAAGGCAGCAUACCGGCGCCCAACUGACGCUGAAGCACGAAAGCGUGGGUAUCGAACAGGAUUAGAUACCCUGGUAGUC